This 573-nucleotide ribosomal RNA is filed under the name uncultured rumen bacterium. RNAcentral describes it as "bacterial SSU rRNA". It matches the Rfam family "Bacterial small subunit ribosomal RNA", at positions 347 to 916 of the family's 1533-position model. The record is from RNAcentral.
GGCAGCAGCUAAGAAUAUUCCACAAUGGACGGAAGUCUGAUGGAGCGACGCCGCGUGCGCGAUGAAGGCCGUGAGGUUGUAAAGCGCUUUUCUUGAGGGGGAACAACACCGCCAGGGAAUGGGCGGUGGAUGACGUGAAUCGAGGAAUAAGCCCCGGCUAACUACGUGCCAGCAGCCGCGGUAACACGUAGGGGGCGAGCGUUGUUCGGAAUCAUUGGGCGUAAAGGGCGCGCAGGCGGCCCGGUAAGUCUGGUGUAAAAUGGUCGUGCUCAACACGAUCAUGCGCUGGAAACUGUCGGGCUAGAGUCAACGAGGGGAUGCCGGAAUUCCAGGUGUAGGGGUGAAAUCUGUAGAUAUCUGGAAGAACACCGAUGGCGAAGGCAGGCAUCUGGCGACUGACUGACGCUGAGGCGCGAAGGUGCGGGGAGCAAACAGGUUUAGAUACCCUGGUAGUCCGCACAGUAAACGAUGUGCACCAGGUGGCGGGCAGCAGUGCUCGGUACCGAAGCAAACGCAUUAAGUGCACCGCCUGGGGAGUAUGCCCGCAAGGGUGAAACUCAAAGGAAUUGACGG